This 484-nucleotide ribosomal RNA is filed under the name uncultured bacterium. Its description in RNAcentral is "partial 16S ribosomal RNA". It matches the Rfam family "Bacterial small subunit ribosomal RNA", at positions 30 to 507 of the family's 1533-position model. The record is from RNAcentral.
AUUGAACGCUGGCGGCAGGCCUAACACAUGCAAGUCGAGCGGAUGAAGGGAGCUUGCUCCUGGAUUCAGCGGCGGACGGGUGAGUAAUGCCUAGGAAUCUGCCUGGUAGUGGGGGAUAACGUCCGGAAACGGGCGCUAAUACCGCAUACGUCCUGAGGGAGCAAGUGGGGGAUCUUCGGACCUCACGCUAUCAGAUGAGCCUAGGUCGGAGUAGCUAGUUGGUGGGGUAAAGGCCUACCAAGGCGACGAUCCGUAACUGGUCUGAGAGGAUGAUCAGUCACACUGGAGCUGAGACAGGGUCCAGACUCCUACGGGAGGCAGCAGUGGGGAAUAUUAGACAAUGGGCGAAAGCCUGAUCCAGCCAUGCCGCGUGUGUGAAGAAGGUCUUCGGAUUGCAAAGCACUUUAAGUUGGGAGGAAGGGCAGUAAGUUAAUACCUUGCUGUUUUGACGUUACCAACAGAAUAAGCACCGGCUAACUUCGUG